GACGAACGCUGGCGGCGUGCCUAAUACAUGCAAGUUGAGCGCUGAAGGUUGGUACUUGUCCCAACUGGCUGAGCAGCGAACGGGUGAGUAACGCGUGGGGAAUCUGCCUUUGAGCGGGGGACAACAUUUGGAAACGAAUGCUAAUACCGCAUAAAAACUUUAAACACAAGUUUUAAGUUUGAAAGAUGCAAUUGCAUCACUCAAAGAUGAUCCCGCGUUGUAUUAGCUAGUUGGUGAGGUAAAGGCUCACCAAGGCGAUGAUACAUAGCCGACCUGAGAGGGGGAUCGGCCACAUUGGGACUGAGACACGGCCCAAACUCCUACGGGAGGCAGCAGUAGGGAAUCUUCGGAAAUGGACGAAAGUCUGACCGAGCAACGCCGCGUGAGUGAAGAAGGGUUUCGGAUCGUAAAACUCUGUUGGUAGAGAAGAACGUUGGUGAGAGUGGAAAGCUCAUCAAGUGACGGUAACUACCCAGAAAGGGACGGCUAACUACGUG
RNAcentral lists this ribosomal RNA (497 nucleotides) under uncultured bacterium. RNAcentral's name for it is "partial 16S ribosomal RNA". It matches the Rfam family "Bacterial small subunit ribosomal RNA", at positions 28 to 507 of the family's 1533-position model. The record is from RNAcentral.